ACCAACGUUCCAAACCGCUCUAAAUGCACUCGUUCUCGUCCGAUUACGAAAGUUAAGCACUGCUGGGCAAAUGGGUGACCGCUUGGGAACUCCGUGUGACGUUGGUU
RNAcentral lists this ribosomal RNA (107 nucleotides) under Melipona quadrifasciata. Lineage: Eukaryota; Metazoa; Arthropoda; Insecta; Hymenoptera; Apidae. The record is from RNAcentral.